Molecule: ribosomal RNA, 333 nt
Filed under: uncultured bacterium
Lineage: Bacteria
Description: partial 16S ribosomal RNA
Rfam family: Bacterial small subunit ribosomal RNA
Source: RNAcentral
CCUACGGGAGGCAGCAGUGAGGAAUAUUGGUCAAUGGACGCAAGUCUGAACCAGCCAUGCCGCGUGCAGGAAGACGGCUCUCUGAGUUGUAAGCUGCAUUUGCACGAGGGUAAACGAAGAUACGCGAAUAUGUCUCAAAGUAUCGUUCGAAUAAGGAUCGGCUAACUCUGUGCCAGCAGCCGCGGUAAUACGGAGGAUUCAAGCGUUAUCCGGAUUUAUUGGGUGUAAAGGGUGCGUAGACGGUCGGACAAGUUUGAGGUGAAAUCCCGAGGCUUAACUUCGGAAUUGCCUCUGAUACUGUUCGGCUAGAGAGUAGUAGCGGUAGGCGGAAUG